RNAcentral lists this long non-coding RNA (259 nucleotides) under Elaeis guineensis (African oil palm). Its description in RNAcentral is "long non-coding RNA (EGUI_LNC016046)". Lineage: Eukaryota; Viridiplantae; Streptophyta; Magnoliopsida; Arecales; Arecaceae. The record is from RNAcentral.
AAGACAAGGGGUGCCCAACUCUUGGACGUCCCCUCCUUUUUCUGCUAUGGACCACCAGCAAAGGGCGCAUGUUAUGUGCCAUCAAAGCCACAAAAAUCUCAAAAAAAUUUGGAUAAAAUCAGUGCCAUAAUGAAAGAGUUUUGGUUUCCUAAAACUCUAUCUCAUAGAAUUUGAAAUCCAAACUAAUUCCUACUUUGACUUGAUCUACAACCACAUUCCAUGUAAGAGAGAAAGAGAGAAAAGUUUUGGGCGUGCGUAA